This is a long non-coding RNA of Centrocercus urophasianus (Greater sage-grouse), 5810 nucleotides long. RefSeq lists it as uncharacterized. The record is from RefSeq and is a predicted model, not a curated record. Lineage: Eukaryota; Metazoa; Chordata; Aves; Galliformes; Phasianidae. The transcript has 7 exons.
GAGCCAAUCUGGGUACAUUAACCAGAAGACCUUGGAAAAUUUAGCUCUUCUGCUGCUUGGCAAAUAGGAGCAGACAUCAUGUAAACUCAUGAACAAGAAGGACCGUAACAGGGUUUAUCACUUCACAAACACAGAACAAAAAGUUGAUCCUAUGCCAGAGUUAAUGGUCAUAGCUCUCUGACACAAACAAUAAAAAUGAGGACUAGUGUGGGAUGAUUUCUGCCAAGAGAGCCUGUCUCCCUGGAAUAUGUUUUAAUGAGAAGAAUAGUGGCCAGCUUAAACUGAAGCAAUAGAUGAAACCAGAUAACAUCUCAGAAAAGAAAUAUAAUACUGAACUGGAUGGAGUCCUGAUGCAGAACUGAAAGAAAAGGAAGUAGGAAAGAAAUUAAGACCCCAAAGGAAUCCUCCUGUGCUCUCACAAGUGGGACAUGUGUGAAGGGAUUAAAUAGCCUUCCUUCAUUCUUGGAAUUCUUAAAUCUUCAGGAGACAACUGGGAUCAUCAGAAUAGCUACAGAGAGCCUCUAAGAAAAGUUCUGCUAGUGGCCUGGGAUAUGGGCGCAUUGCUAAUAGGUGUCCAAACAAUUCACGUAGCCAGGCUACUGGAUAAUGGAAGAAGAGUUGGUUUAGCAAUGUAAUAAAAACUCAGGGACCACUUGGGUCAGGAACCAGCAACAAUAUUUUUCAGAUGAUUUCCCAUGGAAGAAAGAUUGUUUGAUCGCACUAGAUAUCUAGGUCCAUGAAAUAGGUUUUGCUUAAUUGCUUCUGUCCCUAGAAAUGAUGACAAAAGGUUUUUAAAUGUAGCUGCAGAAGGCAAAGCAUUAACAGGACAUACGGAAAUUGCUACAGGCAGAGGAAGAAGGUGGUUCUUAGUAGCAGGCUCAAGAGUAUCUGUUUUCUGAAACCUGAGCUUAAAUAAAUGACAUGGACUUUUGGUAGCCUUAAUUCCCAGCAGCCCACCCUGAGAAACUUAAGUUAGAAAGCAGUUCAAAAUUCUCAUCUCUGUCUCUCCUAUGCUGGGAGUAUCUCCCUCCCUCAUACCUCUUUCCUAGCCUUGUGCAGAGAUAGUAUUCCUUUUCCACAGGGAUGAUUCCAGUUUUAACUGCUUGAUCUCUUCCUAUGAGCUUCUUGUGACUGUUCUAGUCACUAAGCACAUUUUUACUGGAGCAGCAUGAUGAAUCUGCUUUCUCUAGAAAUUGGAAACAGGACUGGAAAAUGAUAUAAAUCAUCUCAUGCUCUAAAAUAUUAUAACAUUUUAGAGGAUUUAUGCAUUUAAUGUGUUUGUAUUCUUCUGCAGAUGUAGUUAAAUAUCAGAGAUAGCUGAUGGUUAUCCCUGCUAGUAGGUAUUUCUCUUAAAUUCUACAGUUAGUAUUCAGGGCUUCAUAUGCUUUGGAUAUUGCAUUCUAUUUUCAAUGUUUCUUUCACAAUCUCUUCCACAGUUUGUAAUUGUGAGAGAUUUACUCUGAAAAAAUAGUAGGUAUGCCAGUGCAAUUUCUUCUCUUUAAAACGAAUGUUUGUUUGUUUGUUUUAAUAUAUUUAUCUUUUUUCAAAAUAUUGAGGCUGUCACUAAAAGAGUUAAGCACCCCUAGGACUAUAAUGCUUGCCCAGACAAAUGCACAUUCCUGUCUGUAAAGACCUAGCUGGAAUGUCUAGCAUCAGAAUUUAACAUUUUGUGCAGUCAAUUCUAUUUCACAUACUAAGCCACAAACCAUUAUAGUUGAAAACAGUAGAAGGUCUGUUUUAAAUUAGGUGACGCAAAUACAGUAGUAACAGAAACCAUGGAAAAAAGCACAGAUGUAUAGAGUAUAUGUACAUGCAAGGCAGCCAACUACGAAAGGCAGGUAUCAGUUAAAAUGCUUUCUGAAGGAUGAAGUUACAUUUCAGCAAACAGUAUGAAUGUAAAAAAAGCAAUAUAUUAAUUGAACAAAAAGCAACAAUGUUGUAUGCUUCUCAUCUCCCGAAGUUCUAUAGAACAUGAAAGAAACAGGUGAUCCCCAACAAGUCUUCUGUGAAGACGUUGUAUGCGGGGGAGGGUUAUCUUCCUUGGAAUGCACAUCAAGAGAGCCCAAUAUGAACUGCUAAAACAAGUAACCUAGUCUCAUGUAAAACAUGCUGAUUUAGCAGGAAUAAAGCAGUCACAGAUGGAGUGCCCAAAACAGCUCAUUUUAUCCCCUAUAUCUAGUUCGUAUAUUCUUUUUUUCCUGAUGUUUCUCUGUAAGAAUUUUUUUACCUCAAUCAAUUAAUUUUUUUGAUUUCUCCCCUAUUUUUCUAAAUAGUAUUUUCUUCUCCAUUGUAUAAUACACAGCACAUGUGAAAAAAAACAAUUUGCUUAGAAAUUACUCUCACAGAUUCUUCAAAUACAUGUGACAAUUUAGAAUGCAGUUUUUUUCCUAAAAUUGUUGUGAUAGACUCUCUUAUGAUAUAGUACUAAAAAAAAGUCAACAGAGUAGAAGAGGCAAUGGCAUUCUUAAAACUUGUAUACUUGGAUAUAACAAAGCUAUUUCCUCUUCAGAUGUAACUGUAGCAUAUCACACAUAUAGCCUAUAUGCACUGCUUAUUCUUUUUACUAAAAUAAAUAGUCUGACUGAGGCGAGAAAUUAAAAUUAGUCUUUGUUGUUGAAAAGAACAUUUUUGCAAUAAAUGUAUAAAAACUAGCCUUUUACGCAGUCAGCCCAUAAUUCAGGAAUGGAAGUCUGUAGCAUACAGUGGGACUGUCAGAAUAAUUAAGUCAAUUUUUAUCUUAUGUCACUUUUGUAAUGUCUUUGCAUUCAGUUUCUUAACAGCUGUCUCAAACUCUAACAGCUGGAAUACCUUGGGAAUGGCAGAAAGUUUUUUUCGUUAAAAUAUCAACCAUUCAGUGUUGUCAUAUUCAGAUAUACUAUGUAUCUAAUAAAUGCCUUCCCAGUGGCACUUGAAAAACAUUGAAACUAGAACAGAUUUGAAUAUUUUUUUCCCCCGCAAACUCAGGAAAGAAACGAACUUGUACCCCAAUGUUUCCUAACUGAUUUCUAAAGUAAUUAAACACAUACUUCUCGGUGAAAAAAAUUAAUAAGAUUUAACUUUGAAGAAAUGUCCUUAGCUCCAAUGUCUUUCAGAAGCCUCGUUUAGAUUUUUUCUUCCUUGCACUCAUACUUUAUUGCAUUUCUUCAAUAAAUGAAGAUGAAGAGUAAAUCUACGGGGAUUAGAGUAUUAUCAUGUACACAUUUGUAAACUGUGUACACAUUUAGAGUAAAUCUCAAUAUAUACAGACUAAUGCAGGUACUGGGGAUCUGUUGCAUGACUUUCUCCUUCACACCUGAAGGAUUCAGAAGAAUAAGAUGCAAGUCCAAACUGUAGAUCCUGUUCUACUUCGUCAGAGAGAUCACUUCUAGUAACUUCAGUUCCACAUUAUCCUGAUCCCUACAUUCAGCUUACCCUUCAAAUCUCCACGUACUUUGAGCAAAGUACUUGAUUGAAUCAAGGGUCAAGUUCUUUGACCAUGCAUACACAUGCGCUUGUGAUUAUUUGGGUUUACUUCUGUUAUUUGAAGUAAUUCUCCUUUUUCUUUUUUUAAAUCUUGAAACAUUGCAUACAUGGCUUACUUCCUCUGAUUUACACAUUGCUGACCUCAUCAUGCAGUGACAGUAUCACCCAAUGUGCCAUAGCAUGUGGAUUUCAUAAAUUCAUCAUGGUUGCCAAGCCAAAUUUCAUAAAUUCCCAUUGUUAGCUUUAUAUUCAGCCUUUGAAACAUGCACAUAGAGGACAGUCUCACGCAUUGCCUUAGUCCUGCAAUAUCUAGAUACAAUGCAGCAUGAUUUUGUCACUUUUAUUUAACGUGCUUGACGCUUGCAUGUCUUACUCUAAACAGAGAUUCUGAUUAACAAAACUACAUCUUCUUCGAGUCAUCUAACAAGAGAAGAACAGCUGUGUCAGAGUUCCUGUUGAUAGUUGUCAUACUCUCUCUCCCACAUUACACUCCUGCGGAAUAGGGUAUUUGCAAUAGGUGUAUGCGUGUUGGGUUAGGGGCUGGAUGGAGGGAGGCACUAUUGUAGUAUUAAGAAGGUGCUUCAGUGUGGUAGAUUAUUUAAGCCUUUCUGCUACACUGAAGUGUCAUCUGCCCCCAUGUCAUCAAGUAGAGUGAGAAACAAGGAACCAGUAACAACCUAUCUUAGCAACUUUACACAGGAGUUGUCUACAUUUAUGCAAAUCAUUAUAGAUACUUUAUUUGGUAGACUGACUUAAUUCUUUUUCUACAAGCAGACAUUAGCAUUUUAAAUAAAGUUAAAAUCUAUGAAACUUAAAAUUUCCUUCAGAUUUUAUAAGUUUCUUAACAUCUCAAGUUCAGGAAUACUUUCUUAUUGUUUUUCCUUGUUAAUCUACAUUUUGUAGCAUCUAUUUUAUAUUUCAUGACAGUGUAAAGAAAAUACAGGAAAUAGUGCAUAAUGAUAUGACUCUGGCACUGUAAUUUUGGUCAUGUGCAUCCAAAUGAUCACAUUCCUUUGAUAUGCCAUAGUAAGUUUUAAAACUGUGCAUUUAACGGUAAGUCUGGUAAGCCACAAUUGUAGAGCAUGGUAAUGCUUGUUUUGGCUUUGCAAAAUAAGAUAUCAAAGUGGUAUAAGAUCAGCUUGCCAUAUUUGGCACCAUCAAGUUUAACUUAAACUUGUAUUCUAGGUGAAUGGAUAGUCAAAUAAAACCAUCCCUCUGGAAAUAGCAGGGUACUGUAUAUAAAUUAAAAGAAUUAUUGGUUGUAAAGCAGUCUGGACUGAAUAUAACAGAUUCAGCUGGCUUGAGCUCAGGGAGCUGUUUCAUUUGCUUCAUAACAGGGCUUUUGUUUCAGAAUCUAGAGAGCCUAUGUUUAUCCCAGCAAAAAACUUCUUAGAUGAAUUAACUAUGUGUAGGUUUGACAGUGUACUUACUGGGACCUCCAGAUGCGUGUUUUGUCCAUACCAUUUAGAAUUUGGUGUGGCUGUCCAUAGUACCCUACUGUACAAAUUUGAAGUAAGCCAAAGCCUUCUCUUCAAAGCCUUUAUUUUAUAUAAGAAUGUUAGCCUUUAAAUUCUGGUAUCUCAGGACUCGUAACUCAGUGUAAUUUCCCCUUUUUAACAAAAUAAUUUUCCUAGUUCUAGCUCUCAAUUCUUGUUUCUUGCUUUAACAGACUGCCUGACAGCAAUUCAACCCUGGUCAAAGAUAGGAUAGUGUACUCCUGGGCCUUAGGUUAGCCUAAUUUCAAGAUUAAUUCCGUAGGUGGAGGAGAAAGAAGACGAUACAUUUUCAGCAGAUUCUUUAGAGAGAAAUAAAAAUAAAAAGCCAGCUAAUUAAAACUGCCCAAAGGUUUGGGAAGUUAUAGACAUUCUGUGGGAGGCAGGCUGAGGAAGGAAAUGCAGGUGAAGUAAAGACACACGUGAAGUUUAUCACAUGAUUCCAGAACUCAUUGUGGAGAUAACAGCCAUAUGCUAACAAGCAGGCAAGAAAAAGCGUUCCAGCUCACCAAAAAGAAAAACAGACUCCUCUAAUGCAAGUGUGCUUAUGACGAUGUGCAACAGGCUACUAAGCAAGCCAGAACUCUGAGGCAGAACUGUCUGCACCAUUGCCUUAGAAUUAGUUCUUCAAAAGUUCUUAAUCCAUAUUUUAAGUAGAAUCCCUAGUGGAACAAGGUAGCUUUUAAAUAAGAGGAAAUUCAGUUAUAUUGAAAUAAACAAGUUCAAAUUAAAUAUUUUAUAUGCAAACUCCUCUGUAUUUUUGGUAGCCAUACAGCCAAAUCCUGCUCCAAGGUUCAGCACUUUUCUAUUCUCAGGUUACUGCAAACUCAGCAUCUUCGUAUGUAUAUAUAUGUG